Molecule: ribosomal RNA, 253 nt
Filed under: uncultured bacterium
Lineage: Bacteria
Description: partial 16S ribosomal RNA
Rfam family: Bacterial small subunit ribosomal RNA
Source: RNAcentral
UACGGAGGGGGCAAGCGUUACUCGGAAUUACUGGGCGUAAAGCGUGCGCAGGCGGCUAUGCAAGACAGAUGUGAAAUCCCCGGGCUCAACCUGGGAACUGCAUUUGUGACUGCAUAGCUAGAGUACGGUAGAGGGGGAUGGAAUUCCGCGUGUAGCAGUGAAAUGCGUAGAUAUGCGGAGGAACACCGAUGGCGAAGGCAAUCCCCUGGACCUGUACUGACGCUCAUGCACGAAAGCGUGGGGAGCAAACAGG